AGUAUAUGAAUAUUUGGUCGCCGAAUUUUCAAUUAUUUUUAAUAUUAAAAUCGAAUACAAAAAUCGAUUUUCACUUUAAAAAAAAUCGAUUAUUUUUCACAUCCCUAUUAAUUUUAUAAACUUAAUCGGCCAUUUUGAAUGUGGUUUAUGCUAGACUAGCGGUAAUUAGUUUUACAGUGCAAAGUUUACUUUAUAAAUCCGUUUCUUUUUUAUUUUCACGUGAAAAUUUAUAGUGAUGGCGUCUACAAGUUUUACUCGUGAAAAUGAUUUUGAGGACGAUGGGUCCGUUGUGAAUCGUGACUUGAAUAGUGAGGAAGUGAUCACAUUUUCCGGAGCAAAACUCACUUGGAGGUGUUCCAAUGAAGGUCCUCCGAGACUCCUAAAUAAUUAGUAUCGUCAAAAAAGUGCGGUGGUAUUUAAAACUGUUACCAAG
Pieris napi is the source of this 433-nucleotide long non-coding RNA. RefSeq lists it as uncharacterized. NCBI's taxonomy places the organism in Eukaryota, Metazoa, Arthropoda, Insecta, Lepidoptera, Pieridae. The record is from RefSeq and is a predicted model, not a curated record. The transcript is spliced from 2 exons.